RNAcentral lists this transfer RNA (83 nucleotides) under Cetobacterium somerae ATCC BAA-474. It matches the Rfam family "tRNA". From Rfam's summary of the family: Transfer RNA (tRNA) molecules are approximately 80 nucleotides in length. Their secondary structure includes four short double-helical elements and three loops (D, anti-codon, and T loops). The record is from Rfam by way of RNAcentral. Lineage: Bacteria; Fusobacteriati; Fusobacteriota; Fusobacteriia; Fusobacteriales; Fusobacteriaceae.
GGUAGAGUGACCGAGUGGCUAAGGAGCACGCCUGGAACGCGUGUAGAGCGUAAGCUUCGUGGGUUCGAGUCCCACCUCUAUCG